CGGAGCGUGGCGCAGCCCGGUUAGCGCACCGGUCUGGGGGACCGGGGGUCGGAGGUUCGAAUCCUCUCGCUCCGACCA
This 78-nucleotide transfer RNA is filed under the name Pseudomonadota bacterium. Its description in RNAcentral is "tRNA-Pro". It matches the Rfam family "tRNA". From Rfam's summary of the family: Transfer RNA (tRNA) molecules are approximately 80 nucleotides in length. Their secondary structure includes four short double-helical elements and three loops (D, anti-codon, and T loops). RNAcentral also lists the same sequence under 5 other names. The record is from RNAcentral. Lineage: Bacteria; Pseudomonadati; Pseudomonadota.